UAGACUCACAAUGAAUCAGCAAGACAAAGCCAAUAAUGAUAACAAAGCCGGCCAGUGUAAUCCAAACAAUCCCAAGUAUGAGGGUUAUUGUGGAAAGUAUGGUGGCGAUGGUACCCAAGCUGAUCGGGACAACCACGGCGACCAAUUAAAUCCAAAUAACCCCGAAUACAAGGGACCGAAAAAAUAAUCAACUGAGUUGAUUAAAUUAAAAAGUUUUAGUGUCCAUAAUAUUAUAUUGAUGAACAUAUAUUGAAUUGUAUAGUUAAAUUGUAUAAUAAACACUAAAACAUAA
Molecule: long non-coding RNA, 292 nt
Organism: Patella vulgata (common limpet)
Lineage: Eukaryota; Metazoa; Mollusca; Gastropoda; Patellidae
Exons: 2
Source: RefSeq, a predicted model, not a curated record